GACGAACGCUGGCGGCGUGCUUAACACAUGCAAGUCGAACGGAAAGGCCCUGCUUUUGUGGGGUGCUCGAGUGGCGAACGGGUGAGUAACACGUGAGUAACCUGCCCUUGACUUUGGGAUAACUUCAGGAAACUGGGGCUCAUACCGGAUAGGAGCUCCUGCUGCAUGGUGGGGGUUGGAAAGUUUCGGCGGUUGGGGAUGGACUCGCGGCUUAUCAGCUUGUUGGUGGGGUAGUGGCUUACCAAGGCUUUGACGGGUAGCCGGCCUGAGAGGGUGACCGGCCACAUUGGGACUGAGAUACGGCCCAGACUCCUACGGGAGGCAGCAGUGGGGAAUAUUGCACAGUGGGCGGAAGCCUGAUGCAGCAACGCCGCGUGCGGGAUGACGGCCUUCGGGUUGUAAACCGCUUUCGCCUGUGACGAAGCGUGAGUGACGGUAAUGGGUAAAGAAGCACCGGCUAACUACGUG
Molecule: ribosomal RNA, 468 nt
Filed under: uncultured bacterium
Lineage: Bacteria
Description: partial 16S ribosomal RNA
Rfam family: Bacterial small subunit ribosomal RNA
Source: RNAcentral